GACGAACGCUGGCGGCGUGCUUAACACAUGCAAGUCGAACGGAAAGGCCCUGCUUUUGUGGGGUGCUCGAGUGGCGAACGGGUGAGUAACACGUGAGUAACCUGCCCUUGACUUUGGGAUAACUUCAGGAAACUGGGGCUAAUACCGGAUAGGAGCUCCUGCUGCAUGGUGGGGGUUGGAAAGUUUCGGCGGUUGGGGAUGGACUCGCGGCUUAUCAGCUUGUUGGUGGGGUAGUGGCUUACCAAGGCUUUGACGGGUAGCCGGCCUGAGAGGGUGACCGGCCACAUUGGGACUGAGAUACGGCCCAGACUCCUACGGGAGGCAGCAGUGGGGAAUAUUGCACAAUGGGCGGAAGCCUGAUGCAGCAACGCCGCGUGCGGGAUGACGGCCUUCGGGUUGUAAACCGCUUUCGCCUGUGACGAAGCGUGAGUGACGGUAAUGGGUAAAGAAGCACCGGCUAACUACGUGCCAGCAGCCGCGGUGAUACGUAGGGUGCGAGCGUUGUCCGGAUUUAUUGGGCGUAAAGGGCUCGUAGGUGGUUGAUCGCGUCGGAAGUGUAAUCUUGGGGCUUAACCCUGAGCGUGCUUUCGAUACGGGUUGACUUGAGGAAGGUAGGGGAGAAUGGAAUUCCUGGUGGAGCGGUGGAAUGCGCAGAUAUCAGGAGGAACACCAGUGGCGAAGGCGGUUCUCUGGGCCUUUCCUGACGCUGAGGAGCGAAAGCGUGGGGAGCGAACAGGCUUAGAUACCCUGGUAGUCCACGCUGUAAACGGUGGGUACUAGGUGUGGGGUCCAUUCCACGGGUUCCGUGCCGUAGCUAACGCUUUAAGUACCCCGCCUGGGGAGUACGGCCGCAAGGCUAAAACUCAAAGGAAUUGACGGGGCCCCGCACAAGCGGCGGAGCAUGCGGAUUAAUUCGAUGCAACGCGUAGAACCUUACCUGGGUUUGACAUGGAUCGGGAGUGCUCAGAGAUGGGUGUGCCUCUUUUGGGGUCGGUUCACAGGUGGUGCAUGGCUGUCGUCAGCUCGUGUCGUGAGAUGUUGGGUUAAGUCCCGCAACGAGCGCAACCCUUGUUCACUGUUGCCAGCACGUUAUGGUGGGGACUCAGUGGAGACCACCGGGGUCAACUCGGAGGAAGGUGGGGAUGACGUCAAGUCAUCAUGCCCCUUAUGUCCAGGGCUUCACGCAUGCUACAAUGGCUGGUACAGAGAGUGGCGAGCCUGUGAGGGUGAGCGAAUCUCGGAAAGCCGGUCUCAGUUCGGAUUGGGGUCUGCAACUCGACCUCAUGAAGUCGGAGUCGCUAGUAAUCGCAGAUCAGCAACGCUGCGGUGAAUACGUUCCCGGGGCU
Molecule: ribosomal RNA, 1346 nt
Filed under: uncultured bacterium
Lineage: Bacteria
Description: partial 16S ribosomal RNA
Rfam family: Bacterial small subunit ribosomal RNA
Source: RNAcentral